RNAcentral lists this ribosomal RNA (490 nucleotides) under uncultured bacterium. RNAcentral describes it as "partial 16S ribosomal RNA". It matches the Rfam family "Bacterial small subunit ribosomal RNA", at positions 30 to 507 of the family's 1533-position model. The record is from RNAcentral.
AUUGAACGCUGGCGGCAGGCCUAACACAUGCAAGUCGAACGGUAACAGGAAGAAGCUUGCUUCUUUGCUGACGAGUGGCGGGCGGGUGAGUAAUGUCUGGGAAACUGCCUGAUGGAGGGGGAUAACUACUGGAAACGGUAGCUAAUACCGCAUAACGUCGCAAGACCAAAGAGGGGGACCUUCGGGCCUCUUGCCAUCGGAUGUGCCCCGGUGGGAUUAGCUAGUAGGUGGGGUAACGGCUCACCUAGGCGACGAUCCCUAGCUGGUCUGAGAGGAUGACCAGCCACACUGGAACUGAGACACGGUCCAGACUCCUACGGGAGGCAGCAGUGGGGAAUAUUGCACAAUGGGCGCAAGCCUGAUGCAGCCAUGCCGCGUGUAUGAAGAAGGCCUUCGGGUUGUAAAGUACUUUCAGCGGGGAGGAAGGGAGUAAAGUUAAUACCUUUGCUCAUUGACGUUACCCGAAGAAGAAGCACCGGCUAACUCCGUG